RNAcentral lists this ribosomal RNA (497 nucleotides) under uncultured bacterium. Its description in RNAcentral is "partial 16S ribosomal RNA". It matches the Rfam family "Bacterial small subunit ribosomal RNA", at positions 28 to 507 of the family's 1533-position model. The record is from RNAcentral.
GACGAACGCUGGCGGCGUGCCUAAUACAUGCAAGUAGAACGCUGAAGAGAGGAGCUUGCUCUUCUUGGAUGAGUUGCGAACGGGUGAGUAACGCGUAGGUAACCUGCCUGGUAGCGGGGGAUAACUAUUGGAAACGAUAGCUAAUACCGCAUAACAACAGUUGUUGCAUGACAGCUGUUUAAAAGAUGCAAUUGCAUCACUACCAGAUGGACCUGCGUUGUAUUAGCUAGUUGGUGAGGUAACGGCUCACCAAGGCGACGAUACAUAGCCGACCUGAGAGGGUGAUCGGCCACACUGGGACUGAGACACGGCCCAGACUCCUACGGGAGGCAGCAGUAGGGAAUCUUCGGCAAUGGGGGGAACCCUGACCGAGCAACGCCGCGUGAGUGAAGAAGGUUUUCGGAUCGUAAAGCUCGGUUGUAAGAGAAGAACGGGUGUGAGAGUGGAAAGUUCAUACUGUGACGGUAGCUUACCAGAAAGGGACGGCUAACUACGUG